UUAAAUUUAUUAAUUUUUUUAUUACAAACAAGUCUUGACAAAAACAAAACUAUAAUAAAUAAAACUAGACCUAAUUGUUUCAAUUACAGACAACAGAGCAAAUGAAAAUAAAUCAAAUGGACAUAUAUUAGGGUGGAGUGAAAACUUGAAAAAAAAUUUUUUUUGAUUUGUUUGACUUUGGAUAGUUAUUAAAACUUGCUAUGUGGUACAAUCAACUACUCUGUAAAAAAAAAAUUAAUUUAAGUAACGUGUUGAGGUUCCACAACCAACUUCAAAAUUUAACCAUUUAUAAGCAUUUGCUAUCCCGUAUUCUUUUUAUUGUAGUUUGCUUUUGUACGCAUUCACGUGCGUUUUUCCUGUUUAGAGUAAACAAACAGCGUUUAUUGCAAAACUUUUUAUUCAUAUAUAAAAAUAAUUCAUAUACAGUGCUUUUUUUGUGCCGGUACGCACCGGUACGGCGUACCGGCACCUUUUUCAGUGUGGGAAAAAAUUAUUACUUAUCUUGUAUUUUAAUGUUUAUUAUUAAUUUAUUAUAUUAUUAAUUUGUCAAAAUUGAAUUAUUUUAAAAUUGCGCGCAAUAAGAAUUAAAAUAUAAAAUGCGAAACUGCUUUCCAUACACACUCGUCAUUAGUCAUUAACCCAUUUCCGGUCAUGCUUGUUUUUAUGACGUAAUGCCUUUAAAAUUUCAAAAUUUGAAUGUAAUAAUUAAGACUUAAAGAAAUUAAAACGAGU
Biomphalaria pfeifferi is the source of this 732-nucleotide non-coding RNA. NCBI's taxonomy places the organism in Eukaryota, Metazoa, Mollusca, Gastropoda, Planorbidae. The record is from the annotation of a GenBank genome assembly.